UGUCCAAUGCCACGUCGCCGGUAGCCGCUAGGCGUUGACCGGUGAUGCUAUGAUUGGACGGAAAUCGAUUUUAUGUUUCGCUUGCUGAUAGGAACCUGUAUAUCCGGAUUUCAGUUGAUCCGCGAGGCCGAUUUCGGCGACCAAAUUU
This is a small nucleolar RNA of Hevea brasiliensis (rubber tree), 148 nucleotides long. RefSeq annotates it as small nucleolar RNA snoR2/U65. NCBI's taxonomy places the organism in Eukaryota, Viridiplantae, Streptophyta, Magnoliopsida, Malpighiales, Euphorbiaceae. The transcript has a single exon. The record is from RefSeq and is a predicted model, not a curated record.